This 408-nucleotide ribosomal RNA is filed under the name Staphylococcus aureus. RNAcentral describes it as "partial 23S ribosomal RNA". It matches the Rfam family "Bacterial large subunit ribosomal RNA", at positions 1 to 402 of the family's 2925-position model. The record is from RNAcentral. Lineage: Bacteria; Bacillati; Bacillota; Bacilli; Caryophanales; Staphylococcaceae.
GAUUAAGUUAUUAAGGGCGCACGGUGGAUGCCUUGGCACUAGAAGCCGAUGAAGGACGUUACUAACGACGAUAUGCUUUGGGGAGCUGUAAGUAAGCUUUGAUCCAGAGAUUUCCGAAUGGGGAAACCCAGCAUGAGUUAUGUCAUGUUAUCGAUAUGUGAAUACAUAGCAUAUCAGAAGGCACACCCGGAGAACUGAAACAUCUUAGUACCCGGAGGAAGAGAAAGAAAAUUCGAUUCCCUUAGUAGCGGCGAGCGAAACGGGAAGAGCCCAAACCAACAAGCUUGCUUGUUGGGGUUGUAGGACACUCUGUACGGAGUUACAAAGGACGACAUUAGACGAAUCAUCUGGAAAGAUGAAUCAAAGAAGGUAAUAAUCCUGUAGUCGAAAAUGUUGUCUCUCUUGAGU